AGAAGGAGGAGAGCAGAGAAAAGCAGGUGAAUAUUUGUAUCCUUAAGAGGCAGGUAAUAUAGCUGGUAAAGUUCUUGUCUAAUUUCUGAUGUUGGCCCAGUGGAGUUCUCCAAGGGGAAAGCAGCAACAAAGGAUAAGGAGGGAUCCUUGAGGGGUGAAUUUAGUCCUAUUCCAGUGCUGGCUAGUGGCACAAGCUACCAGCAUGACUCCAGGGCAGAUACUGAAUUUCCUCCAACCAUUGUUCCCUGUUUGUUAAAGAAGAGAUCUUUUCAGGUAUAAUACUUAUUUCCAGCUACCUAAAGGCCAAGCAGGUAAUAUAAAUGAGUGAAGUCAGCUGCAAAUUAAGCAGAAGCAUGAGCUGCUGAGCUCACGCCCCUUCUGACAAGAGUCAGAUGUUUCUUCUUGAAAGUGCACCAAACAAACGAAGUGAAUCUGCAGCUACGUUAAACCCAGGAUGGACUAUCCCUAGUUAUCCUUCCAGUUCAUAGCCAUAACUUCUAAUUUUGGGUUCAUUUGUCACUGGGGAUCAACGUCUUUGUUGCCUGCUGGUAUUGGACCAGAAUCAGGAAGAGAUUAAGCAAACUCAAUAGAAGAGGUAUUAAACUUGUUUGUUUAUAAGAACAAUGGCCCCCCUAAGCAACAAGUAAGAAUUUGGUGAUUAGAUGCCAAGGUCAAGGAAGAAACACAAUUAACUAAAUCCUAUCAUUGAAUAGAAUCCAUGUACAUUCUGCAGCACUCUAGAAGACUGAGGAAAAAGGUUUGCAGAUUUGAGCCCAGCCUUGGCAAUUUAGCAACUUGAGAAGAUCCUGUCUUGGAUAGCCAGAAGAAAGAGGAAACAAAUCUCGAGAAUAUCUGGUCCUGUUUCAGUUUUGCUUAGAAAUGGCAACCCUAGUCUUAAGGACAAAGUUGAUCAACUGAGCUUCCAGGCUUCCCUACAAUAAAGGAGAUCAAAGUAGAUAGGGAACACAGUCAUCAGGCCCAGAUGUUUUGAAUUAGUCAGGAGGACUUGGUUUUACCCGUGCUGUUAAGUAUGGCAAUCAUGAACUGAUUACCUUUACUGACAUUUUAAGAGCAGCUGGUCUGAACACAAAUGAAGAAUUGGAGUUUACACCUUUCAGAGCCAUUUCUAUGAAUACUUCCUUCCUAAUGAUGCGUUUCUUCACAAAGCUUCAGAGUUGUUAGAGCUCUUUAUAGAGCCAGCUCCAAAAGUGGCCCCAGAGAUAAAUGGGCAGCUACUAUUACAAAGCCCGGUAAACACUAGAGAUGUCAGAGUGAAGUGGCUUUAUUAAGACACUUGUUUCUGCUUAGGUUCUAAAUUGUUUAUAAGAGGAAGGAAAAGUAACAAUUUAAAGCCAGAAACUUUACUGCCUCAUUUUUGCAUGCUAGGGGAAGUAGAAUCUCUCACAGGGGAGACAGCUUCUUAUUCAGGAUUUUACCUUGCUGGGACACUAAAUGGGAAAUGUGACCUGCUCCUUCCUUCGCCAGGCUUUAUGUUUCCACAGGAGAAACAGAAAGGAAGCUGGAUCAGUGAUCUGAACAUAAGAGGAGUAAAAUGUGGGAAUGAGGGCCUGGGAAAAGACAACGAGGAAAGUCAGAGGAGAGGCUUUGGAGAAGAGACAGCAGAGACAGCAGCUGCUCAUGGCUGGUGGUGGGAGAGCCAUUGGCCACUCUUAUGCUUGUCCCUGCUUCUGUUCACCACAGCCGUAGGGCUACUAGGAGGAAUUCGGGACAAGUACAAAGAAGGCAAGCUUGCUUUCUACAUGUCACGCCCUACUGUCAUGGAGGUAUGGACAAAGUACAGUGGAAACAUCAAGAACCAACCAAUCAGCCCUGGCACGGGGAGUCUGGAGGUCACCAAGAAGGGGAUAGAUGGGAAGGUGCUUACCAACUGGAGCAGGAACAGCAGGCUGAGCAUUCUGUGAGGAUACAGCCUAUGCAAGCCACUCAGGUUUGAAAGGACCUGAGCAGUUUAGAGAAAAGUCAAAUUUUGAUGGCUUUUUUUGUUCAAGCUAAACUUUUUUCUUUACUGCUUAAAAAAAAUAAGCAACAAAAAAAUGAAUAUGAAGAGGACAGGGCAUAAACAGAUUUUUGUCAUAAUAAGGCUUGAGGUGUGCCUUCCAACCACUUAUCUAUUCAAUAAAUGUCCACCAAGCUCUUAGAUGCCAGGACUAUGCUAGGCAGGGAGAAUUUAGUGAUCAACCAACAGAAUGGAUCUUAUUGUCAGGGCACUUACAGCUUGGCUAGGAGAUUGAUGUGAAAAAAUCAUCACAAUAAGCAAAGUUUAACUAUAAGUGGUGGAAAAUUCUAUGUAGGAAAGUCAAGCAUUAGUGUGACAGAAUUUAAAGGGAGACCUCACUUUGACUAGGGUUGGGUCAGAGUCAGGUCAGUAGGGCUUCCAGGUGAAACUCGAUGGAUGAUUAAGUACUAACCAAGCUGAGAGGGUUGUCAGGGCUGUGGAGCUUAGGAACUAGAAGGUUACCAAUCAAUUAGUAAGCGAUUCUAAUGGGCCAUGCAGAUUGCUGAUAGCCCAGCUACAAAAAUUCAAGGCUUGGUCUGUGUUAGCCACCGAUGCUACCUCUAGCUCUGACAUUUGAUAGCAAGAAUCUGCUAUAGCUAGGACAUUGUACUAGGUGCUGACUAGAAAAGUAAUAAACAUAUGUAAGAUAUAGCUCCUCAACAGAGUGAUAGUCCAACAAAUUGGACAUUUGAUGGAGGUUUACAGCUUAGCUACAUAUAUAUUAUGUUUAUAGGGCCUUAAAAAGAUUCCUAUAAAAGAGCAGAGAGACGCUGUUAAGGUCCCUUGCUUGCUUGCUUUUGGUGUCUUCUACUUGCCAUGAACUUCUCCUCUGUGAUGCCCCUCUGCUAAGGCACCCUGCCUUGGAGCCAGCUGAUUAUGGACUGAAACCUCCACAAACUGUGAGCUAAAUCUUACCCCCUUUAAAAAAAACAGAUUCUUAUAACACUUUUCAUUAUUUGUUGUUGAAAUUAUAGAAUGAUCUAUCACUCCCAGAACCCAACUUCUGCUUCCUAAGUUUCUUCUUUUGGAUCAACUCUUAUUUAAAGCUAAAUAGUCACAAAAGGAAAGAAGGGAAAAGAAUAAAUAUGAGAAAAGAAAAAAUGGAAACAAAGUCUUUGUAAAUGGGGGGGGGGGUGAACAGGUUGAAGGGUGGGAAGGGGAAUGGGGAAAAAAUAAGAACCAAGAUAUAUUAUGUAAAGGUAUAAAUUCCCAACAAUGAAUGUCAGCAUAUUGUAUACCUAAAAUGUAC
Long non-coding RNA from Heterocephalus glaber (naked mole-rat), 3266 nucleotides. NCBI's taxonomy places the organism in Eukaryota, Metazoa, Chordata, Mammalia, Rodentia, Bathyergidae. The record is from Ensembl.